AGAUAAUAUAGAAGACAGCGCGCUAGCGUAUCUAGUCUGUGUGUAUCUAUGGUCGGAACGUCUGGUAGCAUCUCUGGCUGCUGUUGACCUUGUUUUUGGAGUAAAACACGGUGGAAGCUGAAUUAGUGAGGAUGACUCCUGCUCCUGUCAUCUCUAAGCUCCUCACACAUCUUUACCUGCACAUGAGGAAAAUCACUCCUGUAGAAUGCAGUGGUUCAUCAGAACCUCUGGGGAUGUCCUGUGGAUCCUGUGGAUCCUGUGGGUUGCAGGGUGGGUCCUACCUAGACCAGACUGAUCCUGGACCAUCCCACAGAUGCUCCAUCAGAUCUGGAUGUGGGGAGUGUGGAACCCAGAUGUUCAGAGGGAGAUGAUGCCACAUCUGGUCCAGCUGAUGGAAGGUCUUGAAGUUCUCUGACUGGCCUCAACUGAAGAUGGUCGUCUCACUGGAUUUAAGGUUCAGAUGCUCAGUAACAAACUCCACCAAUGAGCCAACAGGGAAGCUUUAGGUUUAUUAAAUGUUGCUAUGAAGGUAUCGCUGUUUUUCUUUGUGAAUGCAAUGUGCUCCAACUGAAACUUGAAUUAGAACUUAGAAGUAAAUCCUUCCAUCUGACAGGAUUUAGUUGCAUUAAUAACCUCAUAACAUUCUAAUUUUUAUUCCAGUCUUGGUUGGAAAUAGAAUCUCUGUAUUGAUUCAGGUAAAAACUGAACUUCACAGCAUGUUGGAGCAAAACAACCAGAUGAAAACUGAUGGUGUUGGAUUGUCAGACUGUAAUGUUGCAGCUCACAGCAGCUUUUCUAGCUCAGUUCAUUCUGACAUUCAGCUAUGAAUCAACACAGCAGAUGGUGAUCCAUGCUGUGGAAGUCUCACAUCUCCUGAUUUAAUGGAGCUGCUUUGCACUUUUUACACUGUUUAUUCACCAACACUUUAUUUAAUAAAAGUCCCAUCUAGUUUUUAUGAGGAAUGUGAUGUUUUAAUUUCUCUGUGAAUAACUGCAGUCUAAUGCAACAGCUGGAGUUGUAACAUCUGUCCUGAUAUUGAUCAUGAAGUAUUGAUCAGAAUACUUAUGGUUAGCAGUCAUCCCUGUAGUUUUACAUUAAAAUCUUUACUUGUGUUGUGAACUUUGGCAAGAAGCAGAAACGUUAGCGUUGCCAUGGAUACAUGAGUGUUAAAUUCUGUCCAUGUUUCCAUUUUGGGAAAUUCAGUCCAGUUCCAGAAUGUGGAGGAAUUUAGUCUCAAUCACAGACAACAAAUAUUAUCUGAAAGUCGGGUUAUUGUUGUUUAUCAGCACAAUACAAAAAGAUUAAUGUCAGAAAUAUUCCAGUUAAGACUCUAGAAUAUCAUGAUUUAUGUAAAUGUACCUCAAUAAUAUGAAUGUUCAGGUUAAGAUUGUACAGUGAUAUUUAUUAUGUAAGUUUAGCUGAUUAAAGUUUAUGACUCUGCACUAAAAUAUUAUUUAAAUUAACAUCAUUAUUAUAAUAUUUAGAGUCAGACCCUACAGUAUUGAGGUUAAGAAAUCAAAUAUUCUAUAAAAUGUAAAUACACUGAACUCAUUUGGAUAUAUUUAAGUGAGACUCUACAAUAUUAUUUGACACAAAUCUAUCUAAAUCAAAAUUUUAAUACUUUUCACGCCAAACACUUACUGGACUGAUUUAAAUAUUAAAAUCACUCCUUUCUAAUCCUCUGCUGUACGUUCAAACCUGAGGCCUUAAAUAGAAACACACAAGUAUCUGAUUGUAGGAACUUCUGCAGAGUCCUGGUUCCAGAACAUGAUGAUAAAAUUAUAGACAAACUUUAACAAAAGCUGCCUGAGAGUUUACAGGUUUUUAUGUUAGAUUUCUUCAGUAAUUUAUUGAGAGUUAUCAGCAAUAAUCAAGUGAUCAUUUGAUGAACUUCAUUUACUAAAACAUCCAGAAUUGGAGCUCAUAUCUUUGGCAGCUGUAAAGUUUCUGCUCCUUCAAAGUUCACAACACAAUGAAUGAAUUCCUAAAACACUCUCAAUGCUGGAGAGCGUUUGUGAUGCUGAAGCAGUGACCAAUUUUUCUGUUUCUUCUCUGGAGAUGCACAAUGAGGGACGUCUGCAGCGACUGAGAAAGAGUCUCACCACAUCCUGACAUGAGGAAAAAGACUUUAUUGAAGACUACAAUGAGAAAAACUAUCAGACAGCAGACGGCUGCAUUCAAGUCUGUAGCUGCUGAAUUCAUGGAUGAAUCAUCUGGCACUAGAGAAGAAGACCAUCAAACAUCCAUGUCAGCUGAUGGAGGUCCAAGAGUCUCACCGAACAAACAACCUACAGAGUGAAGACCUCGAAUCUGAUUGGACGGCCUCCUAUUCAGCCACAUUUUAGGCUGUUAGAUUGUUCCAGAUAAGACAAGUAAAAGAUACUUCAGAGCCGUUCUACCACGAGCCUGACAGGAAGAACUCCAACAGCUACUGAAUGUUCCUGUGGUUCCCUCAAGGCUACAGGAGGAGUCCUACGAGGACGAGCAGGUCCACCUGAUGGCGGCCAGUCGCUGUGGUUCAAAGCCAACACUGACUACGUGGACUUCUACUGGACCACACGGAGGCCUUCAAACCGGAACAACAAGUUCACCGACUCCCCGACUCGUGGGUCUGAGGACACCGCCGAGCCUCAGUCCAGCCGGCCUCCUUUCUGUGGGUGUUUGAGUGCUGAGAGGUUUGUGGAUGCGUGUGAACGUGUCUGUGUUGAAACAGCAGCUUUUGACUCAGGCCUUGUCCACACGUAGCCGGGUAUCUCACAAAACGAAGAUAUUUUUCUACGAUUCGGCUUAUCAUCCACACGAAAACGCAGAUUUACGUCAUCAAAAACGAUUCAUUUUAAAAACUCCGACCAAAGUGAAG
Molecule: long non-coding RNA, 2860 nt
Organism: Amphiprion ocellaris (clown anemonefish)
Lineage: Eukaryota; Metazoa; Chordata; Actinopteri; Pomacentridae
Source: Ensembl